UCCUCGGUAGUAUAGUGGAGUAUUCCCGCCUGUCACGCGGGCGACCCGGGUUCGAUUCCCGGCCGGGGAG
RNAcentral lists this transfer RNA (70 nucleotides) under Trichuris suis (pig whipworm). It matches the Rfam family "tRNA". Rfam says of the family: Transfer RNA (tRNA) molecules are approximately 80 nucleotides in length. Their secondary structure includes four short double-helical elements and three loops (D, anti-codon, and T loops). Further hydrogen bonds mediate the characteristic L-shaped molecular structure. tRNAs have two regions of fundamental functional importance: the anti-codon, which is responsible for specific mRNA codon recognition, and the 3' end, to which the tRNAs corresponding amino acid is attached (by aminoacyl-tRNA synthetases). tRNAs cope with the degeneracy of the genetic code in two manners: having more than one tRNA (with a specific anti-codon) for a particular amino acid; and 'wobble' base-pairing, i.e. permitting non-standard base-pairing at the 3rd anti-codon position. Lineage: Eukaryota; Metazoa; Nematoda; Enoplea; Trichinellida; Trichuridae. The record is from Rfam by way of RNAcentral.